UCGUACAACAGAGGUGCGAGGGCUGUCGCUGACCUUCAAAGGUUGUGCACGCCCAAGUGCUCUCUCACACAUCCAUCAUCUCACCCCCUUUGUGCAUCACCGCGUGGGUCGGUCCCCUUUGCGGGGGAGGGCUUGCGUUUUCACAUAAAACUUGAUACAGUGUAGAAUGUGGUUUUUCAUUUGCGGUCACACGCAAUCAAUA
RNAcentral lists this unclassified non-coding RNA (202 nucleotides) under uncultured Russula. RNAcentral's name for it is "sequence contains ITS1". The record is from RNAcentral. Lineage: Eukaryota; Fungi; Basidiomycota; Agaricomycetes; Russulales; Russulaceae.